Molecule: ribosomal RNA, 1691 nt
Filed under: Paragrallomyia albibasis
Lineage: Eukaryota; Metazoa; Arthropoda; Insecta; Diptera; Micropezidae
Description: partial 28S ribosomal RNA
Rfam family: Eukaryotic large subunit ribosomal RNA
Source: RNAcentral
GAGGUUAUGAUAUAAUGUGCCCAGUGGGCCACUUUUGGUAAGCAGACCUGGCGCUGUGGGAUGAACCAAACGUAAUGUUACGGUGCCAAAAUUAACAACUCAUACAGAUACCAUGAAAGGCGUUGGUUGCUUAAAACAGCAGGACGGUGGACAUGGAAGUCGUAAUCCGCUAAGGAGUGUGUAACAACUCACCUGCCGAAGCAACUAGCCCUUAAAAUGGAUGGCGCUUAAGUUGUAUACCUAUACAUUACCGUUAAAGUAAAUGAUUUAUAUUCAAUUUCGAUUGAAUUUAAUAAAUUUUGAAACUUUAAUGAGUAGGAGGGUAUAAUGGUGUGCAUAGAAGUGUUUGGCGUAAGCCUGCAUGGAGCCGCCAUUAGCACAGAUCUUGGUGGUAGUAGCAAAUAAUCGAAUGAGACCUUGGAGGACUGAAGUGGAGAAGGGUUUCGUGUGAACAGUGGUUGAUCACGAGUUAGUCGGUCCUAAGUUUAAUGCGAAAGCUGAAUAUUUUCAAAGUUAAAAAAAUGAUCAAAAUAAAUAAAUAAUUAAUACACUUUGAUUAAUAUAUUUGAACGAAAGUUUCGUGUGAACAGUGGUUGAUCACGAGUUAGUCGGUCCUAAGUUUAAUGCGAAAGCUGAAUAUUUUCAAAGUUAAAAAAAUGAUCAAAAUAAAUAAAUAAUUAAUACACUUUGAUUAAUAUAUUUGAACGAAAGGGAAUACGGUUCCUAUUCCGUAACCUGUUGAGUAUCCGUUUGUUAUUAAAAAUGGGCCUUGUGCUCAUCCUGGUAACAGGAACGACCAUAAAGAAGCCGUCGAGAGAUAUCGGAAGAGUUUUCUUUUCUGUUUUAUAAUCGUACUACCAUGGAAGUCUUUCGAAGAGAGAUAUGGUAGAUGGAUUAGAAGAGCAUGACAUUUACUGUUGUGUCGAUAUUAUCUCCUCGGACCUUGAAAAUUUAUGGUGGGGUCACGCAAAUUUCUCAACAGGCCGUACCGAUAUCCGCAGCUGGUCUCCAAGGUGAAGAGUCUCUAGUCGAUAGAAUAAUGUAGGUAAGGGAAGUCGGCAAAUUAUUUAAGGAGUUUUUAACAAGAGGUGUCAGAAAAGUUACCACAGGGGUAACUGGCUUGUGGCGGCCAAGCGUUCAUAGCGACGUCGCUUUUUGAUCCUUCGAUGUCGGCUCUCCCUAUCAUUGUGAAGCAAAAUUCACCAAGCGUUGGAUUGUUCACCCAUGCAAGGGAACGUGAGCUGGGUUUAGACCGUCGUGAGACAGGUUAGUUUUACCCUACUAAUGACAAUAUGUUAUUGCGACAGCAUUCCUGCGUAGUACGAGAGGAACCGCAGGUACGGACCAAUGGUACAAUACUUGUUCGAGCGAACAGUGGUAUGAUACUACGUCCGUUGGAUUAUGCCUGAACGCCUCUAAGGUCGUAUCCGCGCUGGACUGCAAUGAUAAAUAUGGGGCAAUUGUGUUGUAUGGCUUCUAAAUUAUUUUUUAAGUUUUAUAAGUAAUUAUAAAACGACACGAAUAAUUUUAUGUGACGCCAAUGUUAUAUGUAAUAUAAGCUAAUGUAAGAGGAUUAAAUAUCACUUGCAUGUUAUGCUUUUCAAUUACACAUAUUUAAAACAUUAUUUAAUACAAUGACAAUGCCUAGAAUCAAUUGUAAACGACUUUGGUAACGGGCAAGGUGUUGUAAG